UACGUAGGGGGCAAGCGUUGUCCGGAAUUAUUGGGCGUAAAGAGCUCGUAGGCGGUUUGUCGCGUCGGCUGUGAAAACCUAGGGCUCAACUCUGGGCUUGCAGCCGAUACGGGCAAACUAGAAUUCGGUAGGGGAGACUGGAAUUCCUGGUGUAGCGGUGAAAUGCGCAGAUAUCAGGAGGAACACCGGUGGCGAAGGCGGGUCUCUGGGCCGAUAUUGACGCUGAGGAGCGAAAGCGUGGGGAGCGAACAGG
Molecule: ribosomal RNA, 253 nt
Filed under: uncultured bacterium
Lineage: Bacteria
Description: partial 16S ribosomal RNA
Rfam family: Bacterial small subunit ribosomal RNA
Source: RNAcentral